Helicoverpa armigera (cotton bollworm) is the source of this 1687-nucleotide long non-coding RNA. RefSeq lists it as uncharacterized. Lineage: Eukaryota; Metazoa; Arthropoda; Insecta; Lepidoptera; Noctuidae. The transcript has 4 exons. The record is from RefSeq and is a predicted model, not a curated record.
CUCGCGCCGCCAGCCGAGCGAGUGGCGCGCGUUUACACAAUCCGUUGGUUCGGAGCGCGAGCGACACUCGCGUUGGAUGCGUGGCUUCUUCUUGUGACGACGAUCGACGCGCGAACACGUAUCGUCAAUUGUUUUUUUAUAACAUCUUGAAACUCAUACGAGUUCAGCGCUCCCUAAGCGGUUUUGGAACCUCUUAUAAGAAUUCAAGUUCCAUUAUUAUCAUAAAAAGCAACCAACAACCAAUGAAUUGAAGCUUCAAAUAUUUUAGUGCGGCUGCCAUAGUGAUUGGAAUAUUGAAAACAGACUUUUCAAUUUCAAAAUGAAAAUUGAAAAUAUGAAGUUUCUUUUUUUUUUUGAAAAAUUUGAAACUGCUGUAAGAUAUUAUGGAACUGUAAAUAUUGUGAAAAAUAACAAAGUGACGAUUAGUGGUACAGUGUCAAUGGAAAAUCAGGCGCAAAAAGUGCCAGCAUCAAAAAUUAAAAUAAGACAUAGAAUUUUUUCAUCGACAACAUAAUAAAAUUGAUGUGUUUCGUGUUUGUUAUGCCGAAGGAUCGUUCCUAUGAAUCAGAUGUGUCGGAAACACGAGAUCGACAAAAAAAGGGGAAAAAACAAAAAAAACUUGAAUACCACCGCGGCCAACCUGUUGUGUGCACGGAGACAUUUGGGCCGCACAUUUAAAUGCGGGUGUAACGACUCUUAAAUUGUGAGUUAUUUUUAAGGUUUGCUUAUAACAAAAAUGCAUAAAUUAUCUGGCCACACGCCAGAUUCCUUGUACGGUUGUGAGAAAAACAAGGCAAUUUUAAAAUUUGCUCUUUAUAUGAAGAUGUGGAGAAAGAAAUUCCACUUUAUACGACGCCCCCGAUAUCCGUUAUGCAUAUCGGCCUUAUACGGGCCCUAGAAGAGUGUCGGUCGUCUCAUUGUCUUUCUGUCCGUCAUGAGUGAGUCACGCCAUUGUUGGGUUACACAAUAGAUGUCUUUGUGCAUUGUGCCCCGGGGGACCCUGAUGUUACGUAUUUUGUAAUAAUUAGUCGACUUCUAUUUGACUCACAAAUGAUAAUUACUCAUGCGCCUACUUUCUAAAUUUCAUUAAAGAUCUAGUUGCGCCAAUAAUUAUUGAUCGUCCGUGGUACAAGUUUUUGUGAAACGCAAUAUCUCACACGGCACGCGUUUAGGGGGUCACCCUUGCGUAGGGAAGGGCAAAAAAUUCAGAGGGUUCGUCCAGCAUAAUAGAUAUGCGAAAACUCAAUCGCGUUCGCUUCUAACAAUAAAAUCCAAUGAUCUAACUUGGUAAAUCGGUCAAACGAUUAUGACCCCUAUGCCGCCGAAAAUAUGGAGUACUUUUUUUAUUCGAUUAUUCGAUAUCCCCUUUGGAAUAGGCAACUUGUAGGCGGGAAAAGUGGUCGUUCGUUCAGAUAUGUCAAAACAAAUUAGUGGUAUACUUGUGCAUGUAGGAUCGAGCACUAUUUUAUCUCAUUCGAAUGUCGUAGGUGCGAAAAGGACGAAAUCUACAUGAAUAUUGAAUACGAUUUAUCACCAGUUUUUCCCCUUUAGGCGUUUAUCGAUGUGUGGGCUAUGAAUAAGGAGUUUUGAGUUGUUUCUGUUUUAUUUUUCUGAAUUAUCACGUUAUUUGUUACAACACGGUAGAAGUGUGGAAAAUGUUUUUAUGAUAAUUGUUAUGGCUCUGGUU